Molecule: long non-coding RNA, 2346 nt
Organism: Gasterosteus aculeatus aculeatus (three-spined stickleback)
Lineage: Eukaryota; Metazoa; Chordata; Actinopteri; Perciformes; Gasterosteidae
Source: RefSeq, a predicted model, not a curated record
CACAACGCUGGCCAGUAAUCUCCUCAGCAAUCACAAGGUUUGACUGUUGGAACGGAGCAAAGUUCAUCUCGUCAUGGACAACAACAGAGGGGGAGUUUCUACCAGCGGGAGACGGGCCGGGACAGACAGACGGGAAGGACACUUAAAAAGACACGUUAGAAAGAAAGACGCACAAAGAAGAGGUCACAACUUUCACCUGCGGACUGGAACAAAGCGUUGUUUCUCCCCAAAGGAAUCAUUGCUUUGGAUUAUCUCUCUGUGUCGGGACGACGGGGCACCGGCUCUCUGCUCACAACGUUCCUUUAAAGCUUUUUGGGGAACCUGAAAACCCGAGCAGCAUGGAGGUGGCGAGCGGCCUCUGGGCCGACCUGGCUCUGCUCCUCCGGCGGACGGACAGGGAGGCGGACGGCUUCCUGCCUCUCGGCCUGUUCGGCCUGCUGCUGUUUCUGUGCGUCUGUCUGCUGCUGCUGCAGCUGAUCGCCUACCUCAGCUGGAAGCUCACGCAAGUUGAUGCCGAUCUGUCGGCGUUUCUGCAGGAAACGCACCUGACCACGACGCACACGUCAUCCACACACCGGACUUCUUAGAACGCACUGAGAGGAAGUCCUGAGAAGCGUUACAGCGAGGAGGGAAAUAUCUCAGGCGAAAUGAGAGAAAUGUUGACGCCUUUGAAGGAAAUGUUUACUGUGGAAAUGAUCUUUCUGUUCUUUUAGCCCCCUGGAGACGUCUGUGACUUUAUGGAGCGCCGCAGGAAGCUUCUCUUCUCACUGUGCGCUUCAUCCUCUCGUGAACGCUCGGGACAAACUGUCCCUCCGAAGUGAUGAUUCAGACAAACACAAAGCAUCUGACAACAAACGAGGUGACCAGCAGGUUUCAGAGUAUAACAAUCCUUUAUUUAAACAGUGUUACUCGGGGAGGGGUGGCUGUGGGGGGGGUGUGCGACACAAGACAAGUAAGCUGCUGGAGGGUAGAAACCCAACCGCUGAUCAGGAAACAACGAGGCGCCCGUGGGUGGUUUCACAAAACGUGUGUGGGGAGAAUUACAUUUUUCGGAGGGGGGGUCUUUAGUGGCAACAAUGCAAAAUGAUGACUCACACGGCCUGAGAUGUUUCUGUACAGAGAAGGUGGCCCAAUUGUUUAUUACCUCCCCCCUUAAAAGCUUUCAUCGCACGGAGAGACGAGCUUUAAAUUAGAUCCAAUCUAACAGCAACCGUGUGAAUGUAGUCCAGAUCCCCGACCGGUUUGAAAGCAGCUGGUGUAGAAUCGUCGUCUCUGCUUCCAGUGACAUUGUGUUGUUGCCACGGAAACCACUUAAAACUUUCAUCACUGCUUCUUAAAGAAAUAAAAAUGUCCAAGGACAAAAGAAAAAAACAGUCAUUUGUGAUAUUUACUUUUUCUUUGCUUUUCUAAUACAAUUCAACAUUUUGAAAAACCGACCCAUGGCCGCUCUUAAAACUCGUGUGAUUGGUUAAAACGGAGCCCCGACCCCUGAAAAGAGGUUCAACCUUGAGCCAAACGGUACGAAAACAUGAAAUUGGAUUUUAAGUGGUGAUUCUUUAAAUGUCAAAAAUAAAAAUAGCCAAGCAGGUGCACAAUAAAUGCACCUUCCCACAACCAGGUGACAGAGAAAAGAUACCCAGCUACAAUCUACAUAUAUAGAUGUUGCGACAUCACCGAUGCUAUUUUUAAAAGUGUUUUUUUUUUGGAACAGCAAACGCUUCCAAAGCUGCCUCAUGUUGCAUGUUUGUUUGUUUGUUCUUUAAAAGGGGGUUUUCUGUUUUGCCUCUUUGCAAGAGGGUCAGAGGUUAAAGCUUCCCCCUCAUCUGGAAUGUGGUUUCCCUGCAUAGUCGACGCAAAUGCAACCUAAACGCUACUUACAUGUGGAGUGAGUGUGUGUGUGUGUGUUAGUGUUUCCUCAUUUCAAGAGAUUCAUUACUCCCAGUAAUCCCAGUGCCUCCACGUCCAGUCUGACCGGGGGGGUAAAACGGAUGUAGGCAGGUACAGGUGGAAUGUUUUCACAUCCAUUCUUUGCUUCAGAAAAAUGGGUUUUUUCGAGCCUCGCACCGAAAAGUUGAUUUAAUCCGUCCGGGCCGAGCAGCUCCCUGUGACUCGCUUAAUGCCACGAAAUAAGUCGGAUUAUUUGGUCGCGAUGAAUGAAAACGGUUUUCAACACCUACGCGAGGUCAAAGGUCACCUCACGUCUGCACACUGACCAGUCGAGGCGUCUGGACCUGCUCAGGAUAAUAAAAACGUGCAAGCACGGUGGAGGUGGGGGGGGUUGUGUUGCUAUCGUGUAGUCUGGAGUGACACCAAGUGCUGAACGGUGACCUCGGAGUUUAGAAAAAU